This 72-nucleotide transfer RNA is filed under the name Marchantia polymorpha subsp. ruderalis. It matches the Rfam family "tRNA". Rfam says of the family: Transfer RNA (tRNA) molecules are approximately 80 nucleotides in length. The record is from Rfam by way of RNAcentral. Lineage: Eukaryota; Viridiplantae; Streptophyta; Marchantiopsida; Marchantiales; Marchantiaceae.
GCCUCUAUAGCACAGUGGUAGUGCGUUCCCUUCGUAAGGGAAAGGUCGAGAGUUCGAUCCUCUCUGGAGGCA